UGGUGAAUAGUUAUUAAAUACCUUAAGCAUGCUAAAUAUGUGCACGCACAUCACAGUGUAGUUUAAAUGUGGAGCUCAAGGUUGUACUUUCAGCAUGUCAUCUUCUAUAAUCUGGGAUUGACUAAUCCCUCAGUGUUCCUGAUCCAGGCAAGGGGACAGAGUGAGAGACAAACACCUGCUGACUGGAAGGUCCCCAAUGCACAAGUUUCCAACAUGAAUGCUUCAUGUUGAACCUGCUGUCUGCUUGACUGCAGUCUGCUGGUGGGCUCUGUGGACCAUGUGUACCACCAUCAUGGUUCUCUCCUCUCUGGCUUUUGUACUGCGCCAACAUUUCCUCAGCCAAGGCAAAACUUUUCCAAAGGACUUGAGGAAGAAGGAGGCGCAGUCAGUGCAGAGUGGAGACCCUAACAACUGAGACCCAACAUGUCACCAGAGGUGGGGUUAAGAUGUGCAGGACAUCAUCAAGCCCAUGGAAAGAGUCGGUG
Long non-coding RNA from Melanotaenia boesemani (Boeseman's rainbowfish), 485 nucleotides. RefSeq lists it as uncharacterized. NCBI's taxonomy places the organism in Eukaryota, Metazoa, Chordata, Actinopteri, Atheriniformes, Melanotaeniidae. The transcript has 3 exons. The record is from RefSeq and is a predicted model, not a curated record.